Astatotilapia calliptera (eastern happy) is the source of this 1033-nucleotide long non-coding RNA. The record is from Ensembl. NCBI's taxonomy places the organism in Eukaryota, Metazoa, Chordata, Actinopteri, Cichliformes, Cichlidae.
CGUUUGUUUCCAACUUUAUUCUUCGUAUUUAUGCAAUAUGUACACAUGUACACUGUUAUAAAAUCUGUAGUGCUACCAAUGUAGCAUAGAAAUGGACGAGUUUUUAUAAUUACAAUUAUCAGGCAAAAAAAACAUUUAAAAAAAAGGUGAGGAGAUGGUGUGUAAACAGAGGGCCAGAGUGCACGGACUCAAAGAUCAACUAAAGUCUAUUCAGGUUUUGAUGAUGUUGUUGACUCAGGCAUAUAGAGCAGGUAAAAUAUCCCCAAAUCCAUUAACCAGAUCCUGUAUUUUAAUCAGAAGAGUGAAAAGAGGGCAAAAACUUAAAGGCAAUAUUUAUCUGGUAAACACUUGGAAUUAUUUUUGUUUCUUUGGAAUUUCAGAAAUACCCACACUGAACAACAAAUCCUAAAAUUAGCAUUGUUUGUACUAAGAAAUCAAAGUAGGACUUAAAUGGAAUUCGUUAGAAAAGGGGUCAGGAUUAAUCCAAGAUGAAUCAUCAGGACCUACGAUUUGGUGGGAAUGUUAUAUCAAAUCCCUUUCACUUGAAACCAAUGUGAAAAAGCCUGUUCCAAUGUUAUAAAAUGUUUCUGGACCCAUACAAAGAACAGUACUGCAUGUGUUGAGAGGAAGUUACUGGAGAACUCUUUGUCUGUCUUGUAAGGCAAGACUAAGGUGCGCCUGCAAGAAGGCAUGAAUAUGUUAAAACGUAACAUCUAAAACCCGUGGAAUCAAAAAAAGAAACUAAGCAGUAAGUGAUGAACAUAAAACGAGCAGUUUGACACUUUGGGAAAUACGCUGUUAGAGUUAGAGCGAUACCACUCUCAUAUACGAAUCCCCCUCCCCCAGUAAUGCCACAACCUGUUAUUUGUAGGGUUUGUACAGAUUUCACCAACACAAAAUGGUAAUUGUUGAGCUUUUAGAGGUGCUGGUAGGUGGUUUUUACCUUCAGAGAAACUGUUCACAUGAGCUCUUUCCUCCUGUUUAUUUGUGCUAAGCUAACCUGCUGUUGGCUCUACAUUCCUACAGAUAUGAG